RNAcentral lists this microRNA (23 nucleotides) under Ornithorhynchus anatinus (platypus). RNAcentral describes it as "Oan-Mir-124-P4-v2_3p (mature (guide))". Lineage: Eukaryota; Metazoa; Chordata; Mammalia; Monotremata; Ornithorhynchidae. The record is from RNAcentral.
AUUAAGGCACGCGGUGAAUGCCA